AUGAACGCUAGCUACAGGCUUAACACAUGCAAGUCGAGGGGCGAGCAUGAACUUAGCUUGCUAAGUUUGAUGGCGACCGGCGCACGGGUGAGUAACACGUAUCCAACCUGCCGAUGACUCUGGGAUAGCCUUUCGAAAGAAAGAUUAAUACCGGAUGGCAUAAUUCUUCCGCAUGGUAGAAUUAUUAAAGAAUUUCGGUCGUCGAUGGCGGUGCGUCCCAUUAGCUUGUUGGCGGGGUAACGGCCCACCAAGGCGACGAUGGGUAGGGGUUCUGAGAGGAAGGUCCCCCACAUUGGAACUGAGACACGGUCCAA
Molecule: ribosomal RNA, 314 nt
Filed under: uncultured bacterium
Lineage: Bacteria
Description: bacterial SSU rRNA
Rfam family: Bacterial small subunit ribosomal RNA
Source: RNAcentral